GAUGAACGCUGGCGGCGUGCCUAAUACAUGCAAGUCGAGCGAACAGACGAGGAGCUUGCUCCUCUGACGUUAGCGGCGGACGGGUGAGUAACACGUGGAUAACCUACCUAUAAGACUGGGAUAACUUCGGGAAACCGGAGCUAAUACCGGAUAACAUGUUGAACCGCAUGGUUUAACAGUGAAAGACGGUUUUGCUGUCACUUAUAGAUGGAUCCGCGCCGCAUUAGCUAGUUGGUAAGGUAACGGCUUACCAAGGCAACGAUGCGUAGCCGACCUGAGAGGGUGAUCGGCCACACUGGAACUGAGACACGGUCCAGACUCCUACGGGAGGCAGCAGUAGGGAAUCUUCCGCAAUGGGCGAAAGCCUGACGGAGCAACGCCGCGUGAGUGAAGAAGGUCUUCGGAUCGUAAAACUCUGUUAUUAGGGAAGAACAAAUGUGUAAGUAACUAUGCACGUCUUGACGGUACCUAAUCAGAAAGCCACGGCUAACUACGUG
Molecule: ribosomal RNA, 497 nt
Filed under: uncultured bacterium
Lineage: Bacteria
Description: partial 16S ribosomal RNA
Rfam family: Bacterial small subunit ribosomal RNA
Source: RNAcentral